Molecule: ribosomal RNA, 429 nt
Filed under: Acidobacteriota bacterium
Lineage: Bacteria; Pseudomonadati; Acidobacteriota
Description: Acidobacteria bacterium partial 16S ribosomal RNA
Rfam family: Bacterial small subunit ribosomal RNA
Source: RNAcentral
UGGGGAAUUUUGGACAAUGGGGGAAACCCUGAUCCAGCCAUCCCGCGUGUGCGAUGAAGGCCUUCGGGUUGUAAAGCACUUUUGGCAGGAAAGAAACGUCAUGGGUUAAUACCCCGUGAAACUGACGGUACCUGCAGAAUAAGCACCGGCUAACUACGUGCCAGCAGCCGCGGUAAUACGUAGGGUGCAAGCGUUAAUCGGAAUUACUGGGCGUAAAGCGUGCGCAGGAGGUUCGGAAAGAAAGAUGUGAAAUCCCAGAGCUCAACUUUGGAACUGCAUUUUUAACUACCGGGCUAGAGUGUGUCAAAGGGAGGUGGAAUUCCGCGUGUAGCAGUGAAAUGCGUAGAUAUGCGGAGGAACACCGAUGGCGAAGGCAGCCUCCUGGGAUAACACUGACGCUCAUGCACGAAAGCGUGGGGAGCAAACAGG